Molecule: long non-coding RNA, 425 nt
Filed under: Equus caballus (horse)
Lineage: Eukaryota; Metazoa; Chordata; Mammalia; Perissodactyla; Equidae
Description: lncRNA (ENSECAG00000044774.1)
Source: RNAcentral
CAAGGAGACAACAUGGAUGGUAAAGAUUAAGGAGGAAGGCCAGUACAGCAAGUACUUUUUCUUCUUCUUCGGCCCUGAGCUAACAUCUGUUACCAAUCUUCCUUUGUUUGCUUGAAAAGAUUGUUGCUGAGGUCACAUCUCUGCCAGUCUUCCUCUUUUUUGUAUGUGGGACAGCAUGGCUUGACGAGUGGUGCAUAGACCCGUCCCUGGGAUCCAAACCUACGAAUCCCGGCUUCCAAAGCAGAACGCAUGAACUUAACCACUACGCCACCGGGCCGGCCCCACAGCAGGCAUCUUGACGCCUGCCACACUCCAGGGCUCGUACAUGAGAGAGCUGUCUUUCCCAGGACGUCAAGGUCCUGGCAUCAAGAUUCUGCCUCACAAGGCCAAGCAGACUGAAGAUGAAACCUAACGAGAAAAGUCCA